Molecule: long non-coding RNA, 392 nt
Organism: Triticum aestivum (bread wheat)
Lineage: Eukaryota; Viridiplantae; Streptophyta; Magnoliopsida; Poales; Poaceae
Exons: 2
Source: RefSeq, a predicted model, not a curated record
AUCUGGGUGUGCAUCUACUCGCUUAAUUGAUUUCAUAACUAUUCAUUCUUGAAGACAUGGGAGUCAUCAAAAUGCUAAGCCUAUUAUGCCUGCUACUGCUCAUGCCACUUCUUUUAGUUCUUGGUAAAGGCUUGGAAGCCAAGACUUGCGUUGAACAUAGCAGGACCUAUCAUACUAUAUCAUGCAAGGUGGAUCCAUGUGUUGAGGCCUGCCACAAGGAGGGAUUUACUUAUGGGUUCUGCUCCCCCUACCCCCUUAUAAUAGUUUGUUUCUGCGUAAAAAAAUGUUGAAUAAAAAUCAUGCUGCGACUAUCAUAGGAUAUGUGAUGUAACAAAUAAUAAGGUUAUGUAGUAUGAUGAAUUGAGAAUGGGCAAUGACAGAAGUUGAGUGUC